RNAcentral lists this unclassified non-coding RNA (258 nucleotides) under Hevea brasiliensis (rubber tree). The record is from RNAcentral. Lineage: Eukaryota; Viridiplantae; Streptophyta; Magnoliopsida; Malpighiales; Euphorbiaceae.
UGUCAAUCUUAUCCAGGUUAAAUAAAACCCAUUUGCUUCUCUUUGUAUUUUGUUUACUUUGAGCUUCUUUUUCUAUGGAAUUCCUUUACACUUUUCCAUUUCUAAAAGAAAUUAGAGAUCAAAGAAAAUGUUAAUUGGAAGUCACAUAUCCGUAUGCAUCCAUUAGCUAGAAUCAAUGAAACUGGGAUCAUUGGAAGGGAAAUGAAAAUGCAGUUACUGAUCAUUGAUUGGAAUUGAUCGACUACGCGUUCCUUGAUG